CCCAGAACUUUUUUCUGCACUGACUUGUGACGCUGCCAGAGAUGCAGUUACAUUUCCAGAAGCUAAGAGGUUAACCUCUGUAUGUGCAACGUUUUAAAGCAAAACACGGUACGAACAGACUGCAGGCACAAUGACCACUUCAAAUCACUAAAAUGCUUGUUGUAACCCGUUAAGACCCAAGCUUCAUUUGUUUGUCUUUCACUUAACCCCUUAAGGACCAAAC
Molecule: non-coding RNA, 223 nt
Organism: Pelobates cultripes (western spadefoot toad)
Lineage: Eukaryota; Metazoa; Chordata; Amphibia; Anura; Pelobatidae
Source: the annotation of a GenBank genome assembly